UAGUGCUUUGAUUCCAUGAUAUAGUAUGAUGUUAGACCCCCAAUCCGUUUUACCUUCUCUAGGAGGAGGACCACUUAAUUUGCCCAGAAAUAAAUCAAUAAUUUUGCAUAAACAUUUGCAGUAGCUGUUUAUUUCUCUAUCGAUUCCUCUAAUUAUGUAUGUGGGACACACAAUAUCUCUUUUUCUAAAUUUGUAAGUAAAGACAUAUUCUAGUUUCGUUCAUAAUAAGUAAAUUUUCUUCUGAUUUCUCUUUUGAUUUCUGUUUUUUCAUUCUUAACUUUUUUUGCUUUGUUCAUUUUGAAAUCAAAUCGUCUUCUACGCCUUUCCAGUUCUCAGAACCAAAUCGGCUUUGUCUUCUUCUCUCCUGUGACUCACUCUUUUGAUCUUAAGGGAACGCAAAAAAAGAAAAGAAAGAAAAACGACUCCAGCUCUUCCUUGGUGACACAAUCUUGAUUAAGUGCUUUGAGGUUUUGGGCUUGGUCUGGGUGGCUCUGUGAUUUUUGAAUUAGGCUUGGCGGCUUUAACACUUUUGGAAUUUAGCCUUGGAAGCCUUGAGAAUUUUAGUCAUGGCACCUGGUCGUCGCACCACUCGAUCUACUGUUCAAAGUCAACAAGUUGAACCAGUCAUUGAUCCUCCUACUCCACCUUCACAAGUUGUUCGCACUACUCGGUCGAGAAUAGAGAAUCAACAAGUUAAACCAGUCAUUGAUCCUCCUGCUCCACCUACACAAGUUAUUCGCACUACUCGGUCGAGUUUAGAGAAUCAACAAGUUUGUCGCACCACUCGAUCUACGGUACUCAGUCAACGACCUAGAACCACCGCACAAUCUAAUGUAGAGAGAGAACACCCUCAAGGCUCCACACACCCUACUGUACAGGGUGAACAAGUCAAUGUGACGACCCAUUUUGAUACCGAAGAUGAUAAUCAAUCUUCCCAAGUU
Molecule: long non-coding RNA, 941 nt
Organism: Humulus lupulus (European hop)
Lineage: Eukaryota; Viridiplantae; Streptophyta; Magnoliopsida; Rosales; Cannabaceae
Exons: 4
Source: RefSeq, a predicted model, not a curated record